RNAcentral lists this ribosomal RNA (800 nucleotides) under uncultured fungus. RNAcentral describes it as "eukaryotic LSU rRNA". It matches the Rfam family "Eukaryotic large subunit ribosomal RNA", at positions 30 to 821 of the family's 3401-position model. The record is from RNAcentral. Lineage: Eukaryota; Fungi.
GAACUUAAGCAUAUCAAUAAGCGGAGGAAAAGAAACUAACAAGGAUUCCCCUAGUAACGGCGAGUGAAGCGGGAAGAGCUCAAAUUUGAAAUCUGGUGGCCUCAGGCUAUCCGAGUUGUAAUCUAUAGAAACAUUUUCCGCGUUGGCCCAUGUACAAGUCUCUUGGAAUAGAGCGUCAUAGAGGGUGAGAAUCCCGUCCUUGACAUGGACUACCAGUGCCUUGUGAUAUGUUUUCAACGAGUCGAGUUGUUUGGGAAUGCAGCUCAAAAUGGGUGGUAAAUUCCAUCUAAAGCUAAAUAUUGGCGAGAGACCGAUAGCGAACAAGUACCGUGAGGGAAAGAUGAAAAGCACUUUGGAAAGAGAGUUAAACAGUAUGUGAAAUUGUUGAAAGGGAAACGAUUGAAGUCAGUCGUGUCUAUUGGACUCAGCCGGUUCUGCCGGUGCACUUCCUUUAGAUGGGGUCAACAUCAGUUUUGAUCGCUGGAAAAGGGCAGGAGGAAUGUAGCACUCUCGGGUGAACUUAUAGCCUUCUGUCGCAUACAGUGGUUGGGACUGAGGAACGCAGCUUGCCUUUAUGGCCGGGAUUUAUCCACGUACAAGCUUAGGAUGUUGACAUAAUGGCUUUAAACGACCCGUCUUGAAACACGGACCAAGGAGUCUAACAUAUCUGCGAGUAUUUGGGUGUUAAACCCAUCUGCGCAAUGAAAGUGAAUGUAGGAGGGAUCCGCAAGGUGCACCUUCGACCGAUCUGGAUCUUUAGUGAUGGAUUUGAGUAAGAGCAUAUAUGUUGGGACCCGAAA